This is a long non-coding RNA of Oncorhynchus tshawytscha (Chinook salmon), 1761 nucleotides long. RefSeq lists it as uncharacterized. The transcript is spliced from 9 exons. The record is from RefSeq and is a predicted model, not a curated record. NCBI's taxonomy places the organism in Eukaryota, Metazoa, Chordata, Actinopteri, Salmoniformes, Salmonidae.
UUGCUCGCCAGAAACCCAACAAGGCUGGCAGACAGUUGUUACCAUGCAACGAGCAGACGCUUGCGAAAAGUACUAGCUACAAAAUUGGCAAAAUUGCCUGCUGCUGUAUACAUAGCGCGCGUGUGUGUAUGUUGCUAACCUAGCUAGUUAGCUAGCCAUCAAUAAAGUUCCCAAUGUUACAACAUGGCAGACGGCUGGAGCACCGACACCGGAGAGGCUGCCUAUCGUUCCCGGGAUGCUGUCAAAAACCUUACAAUUAAGAUCCGUAUUCAGAGAGCCACCUCCACAGCAGCCCUCUCCCAACACCUUCAGCAGCAGGUUUGGACUCAACAGGAGAGGGGAGGCAUUGAGCUGGACACCCUCAACUCACAGGCUCAAUCAGUGGGUUUGUUCCAGAGUGAGUCAGUAUGCCAGACUCCGCUGGAGAGACAAUACCACACAGAGAUCAUGGCUCAGGAGCGGACCAGGGGCAGAUGGAACUGCAGGAAUUUCACCUACACCGAUUCUGACUGCUACACCAAUUGAGAAGGGGUGGUUUUCAACAGAAUCUCCAUUUCUGUAACGGUUCUGUAACCAAAGACGCUGGGAGUCAGGAAGCAAGUAUAGAGGGAGGAUUUAUUAAUAAAUAGACAUGAAACUAGAGACGAACAGUGUCUGGACAAGAGAAACAAAACAACAACAAUGCAGACAUGGGAAUGAAACUGAGGAAGUGACAGAUAUAGGGGAGGUAAUCAAUGACGUGAUGGAGUCCAGGUGAGUCCGAUGAAGCGCGGGUGCGCGUAAAAAUGGUGACAGUUGUGCGUAAUGAUGAGCAGCCUGGCGACCUCGAGCGCCAGAGAGAGGGAGCUGGAGCAGACGUGACAAUUUCAUUAUUCAAAACAAAGCAUUUACCUAUUUUCUGUCCAAAAGAAACAUUAGUGUUUUAAAGCUGUUUUUGAUGUCCUCACUACAGCAUUCCCAGAGUAUGGUGACGCAGGUCAAGUCCAAUCCUACCUUACUGGCACAUAGGAUGGCCAAUGUCAGACACAGACGACAGGACAGACACCCAGUUGACCGCACCAUCCCCAAGUCCAGGCUGAUUACCUGGGACCCCUCUGAGGACUUUGUGAAGACCAGCCACAUGGUCAACACACCUGUACAGACCAUACACAUCAUGGGGAACCUGGGACCAGCGGGCAAACUUGGCCAAAAGGAGAAGGAAUGCUUGUUGUGCACGAUAAGAGCAGAUGGAAAUGGAGUGGUUACCAUCAAACCAGACUUCAACAAAGGCAAGGUGCCCUACAGGCCAGUGACCCGCACCUGCUGAAGUCAAAAUGUUUUACCCCUAGCUCAAGUUGAGACGGAGGGGGAGAAGAGGGAGGUGUGGCGUCAGACCAGAGGAGACGGAACAGCAACAGUGCAUAUAUAGACCGUUAUGUACGUCAUAAAGACUACCUCAACAGCUUGGUUGGCCAGGACUGAAAUGGCAAGCCUGGGAAAGAACUGAGAAAACGUACUAAAGAGUCAAGACAGACACCAGAAAGAGGCCCAAGAAGACUUGGAUGCAGGAACAGAGGACAGCGAGGGAUGUUCAGAACUCACUCAGUCCGGUUUGGAGAAUGACUUCUCAACCCAAGACUAAGAGCAGCUGUAAGAAAGCAUCAGUUUGGAAGCAUUUGGGAAAAUGUAAAGUGCUAAAGAAGGUUCCCGGCAAAGAGGAUUGACUGUUAUGGGUCAGAGCCAGCUCUCACAAACAGCACAUGGAAAGACAUGAAAACCUGG